This 85-nucleotide ribosomal RNA is filed under the name Peromyscus maniculatus bairdii (prairie deer mouse). The record is from RNAcentral. Lineage: Eukaryota; Metazoa; Chordata; Mammalia; Rodentia; Cricetidae.
UUCUACGGCCAUACCACCCUGAAAGCACCCAGUCUUGUCUGAUCUUGGAAGCUAAGCAGGGUCGGGCCUGGUUAGUGCUUAGGAG